This 552-nucleotide ribosomal RNA is filed under the name Sphaerellopsis filum. Its description in RNAcentral is "eukaryotic LSU rRNA". The stretch from base 197 to 350 matches the Rfam family "5.8S ribosomal RNA". The record is from RNAcentral. Lineage: Eukaryota; Fungi; Ascomycota; Dothideomycetes; Pleosporales; Leptosphaeriaceae.
UCCGUAGGUGAACCUGCGGAAGGAUCAUUACCUUUCUAUCAGAAACCGCUCUAUACUCGGGCUUGCCUGACGUGUAAGCGGUCUGAUUCUCCCCAUGUCUUUUGCGCACUCUUGUUUCCUGGGCAGGCUCGCCUGCCAACAGGACAACCUACAACCCUUGCAAUUGCAAUCAGCGUCAGUAACAAGUAAUUAUUACAACUUUCAACAACGGAUCUCUUGGUUAUGGCAUCGAUGAAGAACGCAGCGAAAUGCGAUAAGUAGUGUGAAUUGCAGAAUUCAGUGAAUCAUCGAAUCUUUGAACGCACAUUGCGCCCCUUGGUAUUCCAUGGGGCAUGCCUGUUCGAGCGUCAUUUGUACCCUCAAGCUCUGCUUGGUGUUGGGUGUUUGUCAUACGACUCGCCUUAAAACAAUUGGCAGCCGGCACGAUAGCCUGAAGCGCAGCACAUUUUGCGCCUCUUGCUAUUGCUGUUGGCAUCCAUCAAGAUCUUUUGCUCUUGACCUCGGAUCAGGUAGGGAUACCCGCUGAACUUAAGCAUAUCAAUAAGCGGAGGA